Oncorhynchus tshawytscha (Chinook salmon) is the source of this 1647-nucleotide long non-coding RNA. The record is from Ensembl. Lineage: Eukaryota; Metazoa; Chordata; Actinopteri; Salmoniformes; Salmonidae.
UUUCCAUCAUUAGUGUAUUUAAUAGACUAAAUUACACAUUCUGUUAACAUCGGACUCCAGAGUGAUCCGUUCCUGCAAUUUUAGUCGAUGACAUUUCAGAUUUGGAUAUGAUAAUUUAUCAUGAAGUAAUUUGGAUGUACUGAUGUACCCAAGUGGCUUUAGUUAGGUAAACUCUAUUUUUUAUUAAAAAGGGUAGAAUUAAUGUGGCUUUACUUCUUCCAGUGUGAAGCAAUUAGUAGCUUGGUCAACUUAAUUUUUUAAGUUAAAAGCAGAUUCCCCAACGAUUCGCCAAACUCAGUCCUGGGUACCUCAAAGGGUGCACAUUUUGUUGUUUGUCCCUAGGGCUACACAGCUGAUUCAAAUAAUCAACUCGUCAAGCUUUGAUCAUUUGAAUCAGCUGUAUAGUGCUAGGGCAACCUGUCCUUACACACCUAAUUCCACUAAUCAAAAGGGCUUGAUGAGUAGAUUUAGUGUGUUAAUGCAUUAACUGAAACCUUCUCUCCAGGAUAUCACACGUUUCCCAUCUGAAAUUACUUCCUAUAGAAGAAGGAUAAAAAAAAGUAUUAUUAAAUGUAUUAGUUACAUUAUUACAUGUAUUAGUUACAUUAUUACAUGUAUUAGUUACAUUAAAUGUAUCAGUUACAUGAAUUUUCAUGUCAUCUGACCAUAGCAUCAGUUCCAAUCCAAGUGCCAAAGGUCACGCCAUAGUUAGCAUCUACGUAACACACAUGUGAUUCAGAGUCGCUUGAUGCUAUAUAUAUAUAUAUAUAUAUAUAUAUAUAUAUUACACACACACAAUGAGAAAUGGCUUUUUAGAGUUUAUCGAGUUCACUUCAUAAUGUUUCUAACUAGAUUCCAUCAGAAAUGAAGAUGGUUUAAACAAGCGUGACUGUUGCAACUUUUCUCCUUUUUUCUACAGCAAAUGACAUCUGCAGUAAGAGCAUUAGGGACUGUAGGGGUUAGAGUGUAGAGGGGGCAGGUAGCCUAGUGGUUAGAGUGUAGGGGCGGCAGGUAGCCUAGUGGUUAGAGUGUAGGGGCGGCAGGUAGCCUAGUGGUUAGAGUGUAGGGGGGCAGGUAGCCUAGUGGUUAGAGUGUAGGGGCGGCAGGUAGUCUAGUGGUUAGAGUGUAGAGGCGGCAGGUAGCCUAGUGGUUAGAGUGUAGGGGCGGCAGGUAGCCUAGUGGUUAGAGUGUAGAGGUGGCAGGUAGACUAGUGGUUAGAGUGUAGAGGUGGCAGGUAGACUAGUGGUUAGAGUGUAGGGACGGCAGGUUCCUGUCGGCACAACAUACAACGAAUCCAUUUCAGUGGUUAGCAAGUUGGGCAAGUAACCGAAAGGUUGCUAGAUCGAAUUCCGAGCUGACAAUGUCAAAAUCUGUCUUUCUCCCCCUGAACAAGGCAGUUAACCCACUGUUCCCCGGUAGGACGACAUUGUAAAUAAGAAUUUUUUCUUAGCUGACUUGCCUAGCUUUAGUUAAUGAUUGGAUAUAACGUUAAAAGGUUUCAUGUGUAAAACUGAUUUGUUUACAGAUUUAAUUCAUGUAAAUUAGGUUUGAGAAUUGUAUCUCCACCAAAAAUCAACAAAAGCAUUGAUGUCGUGUUGAUAGUGUUGCUAUGUGAACAAGAUGGCGCCGACAGAGGGCUGCCUCGCU